Molecule: long non-coding RNA, 3007 nt
Filed under: Piliocolobus tephrosceles (Ugandan red Colobus)
Lineage: Eukaryota; Metazoa; Chordata; Mammalia; Primates; Cercopithecidae
Description: lncRNA (ENSPTEG00000010124.1)
Source: RNAcentral
CAUGAUUAGUAAUAUGAUGAUGUCCUAUAACACUUGUAUUGGAGAUAGUAAUACAUGUAAUAGACAAGACAAUGAUGCCCAUUACGGUGAUACGAACUAUAAUAGUAGUACAGAUUUUUAUAAUGAUUCUGGUAAUGACUUUAGUAGUUAUAGUACUAAUGAAUGUGGUAAUGACUCGUUAAAUAUAAAAAAAGACAAUGGGCACAACAACAGAUGUAACAAAAAAGAAAAAGAAGAUAAUAUUUUUUAUACAAAAUAUUUUUUAGAUUCUUCUAUUUUUUCAAACAAUACUACAGUUAAUGAAAAUAUAUUCGAAAAUUCAAAUUUAAACACAACUGAUAAUAAUAGUACUAUAUAUAGCAGUGAUGGUAGUGAGAAUACUAACAAUAGUGGUAAUGGUUGUUAUGAAAACUUAAAAGAUAAAAGUAACUUAUAUAUUAAUUCAAAUUUUAAUGAUAAUGUAAUGUACAAAAAUGAAAACAUUUAUAAUCAUAAUAGUUUUACAUGUGACACAGACUUUGUAUGUGAUGUCGAGUUUGUAGGUAGCUCAGGUUUUAUGUGGGAUCCUAAUAUAUUAAAUAUUCCGAAUGAUACAAAAAAAGAAAAUAUAUAUAAUUUAAAUAAUAAAAAUAAAAAAGAAUGUAUGUUAUCGAUGACGAAAAAUAUAAUAAAAUACACAAAUAAUAAUAACAAUAAUAAUAAUAAUAACCAUAAUAAUAAUAAUAAUAACCAUAAUAAUAACAAUAAUAAUAACAAAAAUAAUAAUAACAAUAACAAUAAUAACAAUAAUAACAAUAAUAACAACAAUAAUAAUAAUAAUAAUAAUAAUAAUAAUAAUAAUAAUAGUAAUAAUAAUAAUAAUAAUAAUAGUAAUAACAAUAAUAAUAAUAAUAAUAACAACAAUAAUAACAAUAAUAACAAUAAUAACAAUAAUAAUAACAAUAAUAACAACAAUAAUAACAACAAUAAUAACAACAAUAAUAAUAAUAAUAAUAAUAGUGGCAUAAUUUUAAUCGAAAGUGAUGUUGAUACAUAUGAUUCGAAUGUGUACUGUGAUAAAACAAGUAUAAAUUAUAAAUGUGAUAGUAAUACAAACAGCAUGAAAUUUCUUCAACACUCGAGUGAAUUUCAAGAAAAUAAUACAAAAACGUUUUACUACACUGGUCUAAAAUGUGAUGAUAUGACUCGUAUUGACAUACGAAGUUGUAAUGAUGUAGUUAACUGUAAUGGUAUAUGCUACUUAUACGAAACAAAUACAAACAAUUGUAUAGACAAAAGUUUUUUUUAUUAUACACAAAAUAAAGAGAAUAACCAGUGCAACAGUAAUAUAAGUAGUAUGAACAAAAUAGAUAAUGAGUAUGCAAAGACUACAACAGACACGUGUAUUUAUAACAAUCAUAAUAAUCUGUUAAAUAAUAAAAAAACUAUGAAUCAGCCAGAGUCUACACAAUGCUAUAUAGAAAAAAGUAAUAAUAAUAAUAAUAAUAAUAAUAAUAAUAAUAAUAAUAAUAAUAGUAGUAGUGUAAGUUUAGAUGAAAAUAAUUAUUAUACAAAUAUACAUAAUACUUGUGAUACAGUUGAUGAUAAAUCAAAUAUUAUUUAUGAUAGUUUAAUAGAUAUAGGUAAUGGUGAUACUUAUAACUAUGUAAAUAAAAAUAAAAAUGGUUGUUUUAUUUGGGAUGAUAAAAAUGAACUAAACAAUAACACAUCUAAGUCUACAUUAGUAAAUGAAAAUACAAUAAAUGAAUUACAAAGUAUUAUAACUAAUUUGAAAUUAAGAAAUCAAUCAUUAGAAAAAGAACUAAAUGAAAUAAAAAAUAAGAAUUUAAAACGGAAGCAGAAAAUAAUAUUAAGUAAUUUAAGCUUAAAUUAUAAUAGUAGUAAUGUAGUAAAUUCGUUACAUGAUGAUGAAAAUGAUAAUUUGGAUUUAGAAAGUACAAAUGGGGAUACUAACAUAAAACGCGAUAAUGUAAAACAGGAUAGUGAUGGUACUGGUUGUAACGAUAGUGGUGAUAGUGUUGAUAGUGGUAGUGGUAAUAACAUCAGUAGUGGUUGCAGUAGUAGUAUUAGUAACAGUAGAAGUAGCAUUAUUAAUAAUUGUUCAAAUGACAUUUUGUGUGAUAAAGACAAAAAAAUAUAUGAAACUGAUGGUAUUGCAACUGGCACUGCCAAUACAAAUAAAACAGCUCACAUUAAUAAAUUUCAUUUGACAUAUACUAAUAAUUUAAUUGGUAAACUAAAAAUAGCAGCUCAAAGAGAUAUAAGUGGUUCUUUUAUGGGUCCAAAAGGUAUACAUGUGAAAGCAAUUAAAUCAGCAUUAGGCAUUUCAGUAUAUAAGAGUGCCAAAGAUGUAUGGUUCCCUGGAUUUGCCGAUAGUCAUGUUUUUUUAUUAAAAGGGAGUAUCAUGGGUAUAUUAAGAGCAUCUCAAUUAUUAUACCAUUAUGUGAAAUCUAAAAUGUCUUCAUCGAAAUGUUGUAUAUAUAUAGUUGCACCGUUUGAAUGCGUACAAAAGUUAUUAGCUGAUGGUUGUAAGAAAAUGGCAGCUAUAAAAAAAGAAUGUGGAGCUGAUGUAAGACUAGGAAACUUAUACGUUCAUGUACAUGAGAAAUUUACUGAACGUUUAAUGGAAAUACGAGGAACUGAGUUUAAUGUUGAUUGUGCUUUAGAAAAACUUGUGAUUUUUAUGCAGUCAUGUUAUUCAGUUCAGUCUUAUGAUUAUGACAUUUUAAAGUAUCCUUGUCGUUCUGUGUUGAAUUUGCAGUGAUUUGAUGUGAUGUGCUAGUGAGUACUGCAUGAUUAGGUAUGUGUGUGUGUGGAUACAAUUGGGCGUACCAUUUUGUAACGCAUUUUUAUAGCUUAUCUUAUGUUUUAUCUCACAUAUGUCUUAUCUUAGUCAUAUUUUAUAUAUAUAUAUAUAUAUAUCUGUUUUUUUUUUUUUUUUUUUUUUUUUUUUUUUUUUUUUUUUUUUUUAUUAAUAAGAAUAAAAAGUUGUACCGUAUAAUCGUCA